Neoarius graeffei (lesser salmon catfish) is the source of this 991-nucleotide long non-coding RNA. RefSeq lists it as uncharacterized. NCBI's taxonomy places the organism in Eukaryota, Metazoa, Chordata, Actinopteri, Siluriformes, Ariidae. The transcript has 3 exons. The record is from RefSeq and is a predicted model, not a curated record.
UUGAUCUGCCUGUUUGUAACAUUGGUACAGCUGACAGCAUUUUUGCAAAACUGGAAAGCUCUUUGAGGUAAGUUGAUUUCUCAGUCAAAUUUGCUGGCGCUCUAUAUAUAUAAUGGAAUUUGCUGGCGCUACAGUACAUAUAUAUAAUGCAAGUACUAUUUUCUUAGUCUGGAGAGGUGGUUAGAAAGAGCAUCAGUGAGUACUGUGAAAUUCAGUGCUGUGAAGGUUCAAUUUGUUUUUAAUCAAUAAUGCAUUUGUGUGAUUCUAGUACAAGAGGAAUUUCGUGGGAUAACCUGGUGGCCUUUAACUCAGAUAAUUGCAGUGUGAUGAAAGGAAGGCACCAUUCAGUCAUUACCAAGUUAAAAGCCAGACAGCCUAAUGUCCAAGAUGUGGGAUGCAUUUGCCACCUUGCCCAACUUGCCACAGGCUGUGGCAUCAAGGCAAUGAAGGCCCCAGUCGAAGAUUUGCUGGUUGGAAUAUACUCUCACUUUGACAAAAGUGCAAAGAGAAGUGAAAUUUAUAAAGUUUGUGAAUUUCACGGACACUGAGCACUUACAGCUGCUUCGAUACUGCAGUACACGGUGGCUCAGUCUAUACACAUGCAUCCAAAGGGUGCUGAGUCAGUGGGCUGCCCUGCAAGCAUACUUUAACAGCUGUGAAGAUGAGCGGAGUGCCAAAGUGAGACAGCUGGCCAAUUACUUGAAUGAUCCUGAAGUGAAAUUCUACUUUCUCUUUCUGAGCACUGCUCUCAAGCCAUUGGUGUUAUUCAACACUUCUUUCCAGGCAGAGGGAGUGAUGAUUCACAAAUUGCAUGCUGAAAUGAAACGGCUGGUGAAGAGGUACAUGGGGUACAUCCUGCCGGCCAGACUGAUUGUGGACCCUUUGACUGAGGUGUCACUCAAUGAAGAACACCAGCUGCCAAAUACUGAGCUCUUCAUCGGAUCUGAGGCUACAGCAUUAAUUGUGAAUGAAGACCUCUCCACAGCGAGAA